GACGAACGCUGGCGGCGUGCUUAACACAUGCGAGUCGAACGGAAAGGCCUUUUCGGCGGUACUCGAGUGGCGAACGGGUGAGUAACACGUGGGUGAUCUGCCCUGCACUCUGGGAUAAGCCUGGGAAACUGGGUCUAAUACCGGAUAGGACCGCACUUUAGUGUGUGUGGUGGAAAGUUUUUUCGGUGUAGGAUGCGCCCGCGGCCUAUCAGCUUGUUGGUGGGGUAAUGGCCUACCAAGGCGGCGACGGGUAGCCGGACUGAGAGGUUGGUCGGCCACAUUGGGACUGAGAUACGGCCCAGACUCCUACGGGAGGCAGCAGUGGGGAAUAUUGCACAAUGGGCGCAAGCCUGAUGCAGCGACGCCGCGUGGGGGAUGACGGCCUUCGGGUUGUAAACUCCUUUCGCCAGGGACGAAGCGUUUUGUGACGGUACCUGGAGAAGAAGCACCGGCUAACUACGUG
Molecule: ribosomal RNA, 463 nt
Filed under: uncultured bacterium
Lineage: Bacteria
Description: partial 16S ribosomal RNA
Rfam family: Bacterial small subunit ribosomal RNA
Source: RNAcentral